AGCGGACCUAAGAACGCUCGGCCCCGCCUACUCGGCAGAGCGCUCUUCCGGAUGAGCGGUCCGCGUAAGAGCGAAGAGCGCGGGGGCCACUGCGUAGAGCCCGAUGAGCAGGUAAUAGACGGCGCCGGUGAUGGAGUCCCGCCGGAACAGGAUCUCCGGCGGCGUCAUCCCUCGGAGGCUGAUGCCGACGGCGAGAUCGGCGAGGAGAACCAUCGCCGCAGCGGCGACCCCGGAGCCGAAAAGUUCCUGCCACGUCAGUCGUCGGAAGAUCCGGUUCACCAGCCAGGCGACGAACAGGAUCGUCGCCAACAUAACAGGCGCCUCGGCCAAUUCCGCGUUCCGUUCGCCGAUCUCGGGAGCGACGAAAACGGCGCGGACGGCUCCGAAGGCGAAUCCGGCGCCGAAGACCAGGGCGAAGUACAGGAGCGCGGCUCCCGCUUGGCGCAAUAUCGUGACCACGCGGCGA
This 466-nucleotide unclassified non-coding RNA is filed under the name plant metagenome. Its description in RNAcentral is "partial contains 5.8S ribosomal RNA, internal transcribed spacer 2, and large subunit ribosomal RNA". The record is from RNAcentral.